GUCCACGCCCUAAACGAUGUCGACUGGUUGGUUGGGGUUUGACACUCUCAGUAACGAAGCUAACGCGUGAAGUCGACCGCCUGGGGAGUACGGCCGCAAGGUUAAAACUCAAAGGAAUUGACGGGGACCCGCACAAGCGGUGGAUUAUGUGGAUUAAUUCGAUGCAACGCGAAAAACCUUACCUACCCUUGACAUGUCCUGGAGGCCCCUGAGAGGGGGCUGUGUCCGAAAGGGAACGGGAACACAGGUGCUGCAUGGCUGUCGU
This 265-nucleotide ribosomal RNA is filed under the name uncultured bacterium. RNAcentral's name for it is "partial 16S ribosomal RNA". It matches the Rfam family "Bacterial small subunit ribosomal RNA", at positions 793 to 1055 of the family's 1533-position model. The record is from RNAcentral.